RNAcentral lists this ribosomal RNA (467 nucleotides) under uncultured bacterium. RNAcentral's name for it is "partial 16S ribosomal RNA". It matches the Rfam family "Bacterial small subunit ribosomal RNA", at positions 28 to 507 of the family's 1533-position model. The record is from RNAcentral.
GACGAACGCUGGCGGCGUGCUUAACACAUGCAAGUCGAACGGAAAGGCCUCUUUCGGGGGGUACUCGAGUGGCGAACGGGUGAGUAACACGUGAGUAACCUGCCCUUGACUUUGGGAUAACUUCAGGAAACUGGGGCUAAUACCGGAUAGGAGCUCCUGCUGCAUGGUGGGGGUUGGAAAGUUUCGGCGGUUGGGGAUGGACUCGCGGCUUAUCAGCUUGUUGGUGGGGUAGUGGCUUACCAAGGCUUUGACGGGUAGCCGGCCUGAGAGGGUGACCGGCCACAUUGGGACUGAGAUACGGCCCAGACUCCUACGGGAGGCAGCAGUGGGGAAUAUUGCACAAUGGGUGGAAGCCUGAUGCAGCAACGCCGUGUGCGGGAUGACGGCCUUCGGGUUGUAAACUGCUUUCGCUCAUGACGAAGCUUUGUGUGACGGUAGCGGGUAAAGAAGCACCGGCUAACUACGUG